Molecule: ribosomal RNA, 253 nt
Filed under: uncultured bacterium
Lineage: Bacteria
Description: partial 16S ribosomal RNA
Rfam family: Bacterial small subunit ribosomal RNA
Source: RNAcentral
UACGAGGGGUGCAAGCGUUGCUCGGAAUUAUUGGGCGUAAAGGGUAGGUAGGUGGUCUGAUUUGUCAGGGGUGAAAGCCUUGGGCUUAACCCAAGAAGUGCCCCUGAAACGGUCAGACUGGAGUCUUGGAGAGGGUCGUGGAAUUCCCGGUGUAGCGGUGAAAUGCGCAGAUAUCGGGAAGAACACCCGUGGCGAAGGCGGCUCUCUGGGACGGUACUGACGCUGAGACGCGAAAGCGUGGGGAGCGAACAGG